This 799-nucleotide ribosomal RNA is filed under the name Peribacillus acanthi. Its description in RNAcentral is "bacterial SSU rRNA". It matches the Rfam family "Bacterial small subunit ribosomal RNA", at positions 78 to 861 of the family's 1533-position model. Lineage: Bacteria; Bacillati; Bacillota; Bacilli; Caryophanales; Bacillaceae. The record is from RNAcentral.
GCUUGCUCCCGGAUGUUAGCGGCGGACGGGUGAGUAACACGUGGGUAACCUGCCUGUAAGACUGGGAUAACUCCGGGAAACCGGAGCUAAUACCGGAUAGUUCCUUGAACCGCAUGGUUCAAGGAUGAAAGACGGUUUCGGCUGUCACUUACAGAUGGACCCGCGGCGCAUUAGCUAGUUGGUGGGGUAAUGGCUCACCAAGGCGACGAUGCGUACCCGACCUGAGAGGGUGAUCGGCCACACUGGGACUGAGACACGGCCCAGACUCCUACGGGAGGCAGCAGUAGGGAAUCUUCCGCAAUGGACGAAAGUCUGACGGAGCAACGCCGCGUGAGUGAUGAAGGUUUUCGGAUCGUAAAGCUCUGUUGUUAGGGAAAAACAAGUGCGAGAGUAACUGCUCGCACCUUGACGGUACCUAACCAGAAAGCCACGGCUAACUACGUGCCAGCAGCCGCGGUAAUACGUAGGUGGCAAGCGUUGUCCGGAAUUAUUGGGCGUAAAGGGCUCGCAGGCGGUUUCUUAAGUCUGAUGUGAAAGCCCCCGGCUCAACCGGGGAGGGUCAUUGGAAACUGGGAAACUUGAGUGCAGAAGAGGAGAGUGGAAUUCCACGUGUAGCGGUGAAAUGCGUAGAGAUGUGGAGGAACACCAGUGGCGAAGGCGACUCUCUGGUCUGUAACUGACGCUGAGGAGCGAAAGCGUGGGGAGCGAACAGGAUUAGAUACCCUGGUAGUCCACGCCGUAAACGAUGAGUGCUAAGUGUUAGGGGGUUUCCGCCCCUUAGUGCUGCAGCUAACGCAUU